CAGCUUUUCCUGCCACACUGAUUCGGCCUGCAAGGAGAGAAGAAGCAUCUGAACCCUCUGAACUCCAAUUCAGGAAUUUACAAUUGUCUCGGUCUUGGUGGAAGACAAGAGUCCUGUCUCUGGCUGAGGAAAACUAACAUGCCAGCCUGCAAGAUGCUUUUUGUCAUGCUGAGACUGAAGUAUCAGCAUGAAAGUGUAGUUAGGUCAAAAACUGAAGUUUUGGUCCACAACCAAGAAAUUUUCCUUUGUGAACAACUUGAUCGAGAACCGAAUUGUUCGAGAUGGAAGAUGUUCGAGAAACAAGUUUAGUCCUGCUAAAACAACUAGAGGAGGAAGAGAGAACCAGGAACCAUCUAGCAGACAAAGAAUUCCUCUCUAUUCAGGACUCUAGGAAAAGACCCUCAGAACUGAGGCCUGAGCUCCCUGCACCCUGGCUAUAACUGGUAAAACCCGCAAGUAUAUAUUGAGCUAAUGGAUUCCUCUGCAGAGGGGAUUACCCAAAAGAUGGUUAGUGUGUGGCUGACAGAAAGUGGAACCAGGACGUACACAAGGGAACCAGUAACCUUGUCUACUCCUGAGAGUAACCUGGACUCUUUGGGUUGGGCUUUGCAUAGAAUAAAAAAA
Long non-coding RNA from Myotis brandtii (Brandt's bat), 624 nucleotides. RefSeq lists it as uncharacterized. NCBI's taxonomy places the organism in Eukaryota, Metazoa, Chordata, Mammalia, Chiroptera, Vespertilionidae. The record is from RefSeq and is a predicted model, not a curated record. The transcript is spliced from 5 exons.